This 484-nucleotide ribosomal RNA is filed under the name uncultured bacterium. RNAcentral's name for it is "partial 16S ribosomal RNA". It matches the Rfam family "Bacterial small subunit ribosomal RNA", at positions 30 to 507 of the family's 1533-position model. The record is from RNAcentral.
AUUGAACGCUGGCGGCAGGCCUAACACAUGCAAGUCGAGCGGAUGAAGGGAGCUUGCUCCUGGAUUCAGCGGCGGACGGGUGAGUAAUGCCUAGGAAUCUGCCUGGUAGUGGGGGAUAACGUCCGGAAACGGGCGCUAAUACCGCAUACGUCCUGAGGGAGAAAGUGGGGGAUCUUCGGACCUCACGCUAUCAGAUGAGCCUAGGUCGGAUUAGCUAGUUGGUGGGGUAAAGGCCUACCAAGGCGACGAUCCGUAACUGGUCUGAGAGGAUGAUCAGUCACACUGGAACUGAGACACGGUCCAGACUCCUACGGGAGGCAGCAGUGGGGAAUAUUGGGCAAUGGGCGAAAGCCUGAUCCAGCCAUGCCGCGUGUGUGAAGAAGGUCUUCGGAUUGUAAAGCACUUUAAGUUGGGAGGAAGGGCAGUAAGUUAAUACCUUGCUGUUUGGACGUUACCAACAGAAUAAGCACCGGCUAACUUCGUG